Molecule: ribosomal RNA, 408 nt
Filed under: Spiralinella pellucida
Lineage: Eukaryota; Metazoa; Mollusca; Gastropoda; Pyramidellidae
Description: partial 16S ribosomal RNA
Rfam family: Bacterial large subunit ribosomal RNA
Source: RNAcentral
AUCUUAUAGAAUAACAAAUUAUAGGUGGGCCCUGCCCGGUGAAUAAUUAACGGCCGCAGUAUUUUAACUGUGCUAAGGUAGCAAAAUCAAUAGGCUUUUAAUUGAAGUCGAGUAUGAAUGGGUUAAUGUGGGGAUGCUUUAUUAUAGUUAAAUGUUUUAAUUUAAUUAUUAGGUGAAAAUGCCUAUAUUGUAAAAAAAGACGAUAAGACCCUGGGAGUUCUUCAUUAUAAAUGUUUGUUGGGGCAACAAAUAAACUAAACAUUAAUUUGAACACGUCUAUUAAUAUUUAAGCAAAACUACCCCAGGGAUAACAGCAUUAUACUUUUAGUGUUUGUGACCUCGAUGUUGGACUAGGUAAUAAAAUAACAAGCAGUUAUCUUAUAAUGCUCUGUUCGAGCAGUUCUACCU